ACAGCAGCCGCCGCGGGAAAACGAAGGGGGCUAGCGUUGCUCGGAAUGACUGGGCGUAAAGGGCGCGUAGGCGGCGAUCAAAGUCAGGCGUGAAAUUCCUGGGCUCAACCUGGGGGCUGCGCUUGAUACUUGGUUGCUUGAGUGGGGAAGAGGGUCGUGGAGUUCCCAGUGUAGAGGUGAAAUUCGUAGAUAUUCGCAAGAACACCAGUGGCGAAGGCGGCUUACUGGCUCGAAACUGACGCUGAGGCGCGAAAGCGUGGGGAGCAAACAGGAUUAGAUACCCCCGUAGUCCCUGUCUCUUAUAC
Molecule: ribosomal RNA, 305 nt
Filed under: uncultured bacterium
Lineage: Bacteria
Description: partial 16S ribosomal RNA
Rfam family: Bacterial small subunit ribosomal RNA
Source: RNAcentral